This 1416-nucleotide ribosomal RNA is filed under the name metagenome. Its description in RNAcentral is "bacterial LSU rRNA". It matches the Rfam family "Bacterial large subunit ribosomal RNA", at positions 1429 to 2925 of the family's 2925-position model. The record is from RNAcentral.
AGAGAGAUUCCGUCACCACCAAAAGAGUUAAACACAGGGACACAUAUGAAGUCUCGGAGCCGGGUGUUGGUUCCGGUAGCGAUCGAGGGAAGUUAGUACCGAAGUCCGGGAUGGAAGAUGGCGAGAAAAGCUGUGUGGAUUUCUGCGGUGCCCGUACCGCAAACCGACACAGGUAGGUAGGAAGAAGAUUCUAAGGCCAACGGGAGAAGGGUUGUUAAGGAACUCGGCAAAUCGACCCCGUAACUUCGGGAGAAGGGGUGCUGCAGCAAUGCAGCCGCAGAGAAUCGGCCCAAGCAACUGUUUACCAAAAACACAGGUUUGUGCUAAAUCGAAAGAUGACGUAUACGAGCUGACGCCUGCCCGGUGCUGGAAGGUUAAGAGGAGAUGUGCAAGCAUUGAAUCGAAGCCCCAGUGAACGGCGGCCGUAACCAUAACGGUCCUAAGGUAGCGAAAUUCCUUGUCAGGUAAGUUCUGACCCGCAUGAAAGGCGUAAUGAUUUGGGCACUGUCUCAACAGCCCGCCCGGCGAAAUUGUAGUACCGGUGAAGAUGCCGGUUACCCGCGACAAGACGGGAAGACCCCAUGGAGCUUUACUGUAGCCUAAUAUUGGGUUUCGAUGUUGCAUGCACAGGAUAGAUGGGACACUGGGAAGUAGGUGCUUUGGCGCUUGUGGAGUGGCCGUUGGGAUACCAUCCUUGCGAUAUUGGAAUUCUAACCUGCGCCUUUGAAUCAAGGCGGGGGACAUUGUUAGGUGGGCAGUUUGACUGGGGCGGUCGCCUCCUAAAGAGUAACGGAGGCGUUCAAAGGUUCGCUCAGCUUGAACGGAAAUCAAGCAAAAGAGUGCAAACGCAGAAGCGAGCCUAACUGCGAGACUGACGGGUCGAGCAAUAACGAAAGUUGGAGUUAGUGAUCCGGUGGUAUGUGAGUGGAAAUGCCAUCGCUCAACGGAUAAAAGUUACCCUGGGGAUAACAGGCUGAUCUCCCCCAAGAGUCCACAUCGACGGGGAGGUUUGGCACCUCGAUGUCGGCUCAUCGCAUCCUGGGGCUGUAUUCGGUCCCAAGGGUUUGGCUGUUCGCCAAUUAAAGCGGUACGCGAGCUGGAUUCAGAACGUCGUGAGACAGUUCGGUCCCUAUCUGUCGUGGGCGCAGGAUAUUUGAUGGGAGCUGUUCCUAGUACGAGAGGACCGGAGCGGACGUACCUCUGGCGCACCAGUUGUUCUGCCAAGAGCAUAGCUGGGCAACUAUGUACGGAUCGGAUAAACGCUGAAAGCAUCUAAGCGUGAAGCCGACCCAAAGAUAAGAUAUCCCAUUGUUUCAAACAAGUAAGACCCCUUGAAGACUACAAGGUUGAUAGGCACGAUGUGUAAGUGGAGUGAUCCAUUCAGCAAGUGUGUACUAAUAGGUCGAGGGCUUGAUC